RNAcentral lists this ribosomal RNA (1540 nucleotides) under Bacteroides fragilis. RNAcentral describes it as "bacterial SSU rRNA". It matches the Rfam family "Bacterial small subunit ribosomal RNA". Lineage: Bacteria; Pseudomonadati; Bacteroidota; Bacteroidia; Bacteroidales; Bacteroidaceae. The record is from RNAcentral.
CUUUUACAAUGAAGAGUUUGAUCCUGGCUCAGGAUGAACGCUAGCUACAGGCUUAACACAUGCAAGUCGAGGGGCAUCAGGAAGAAAGCUUGCUUUCUUUGCUGGCGACCGGCGCACGGGUGAGUAACACGUAUCCAACCUGCCCUUUACUCGGGGAUAGCCUUUCGAAAGAAAGAUUAAUACCCGAUAGUAUAAUCAUUCCGCAUGGUUUGAUUAUUAAAGGAUUCCGGUAAAGGAUGGGGAUGCGUUCCAUUAGGUUGUUGGUGAGGUAACGGCCCACCAAGCCUUCGAUGGAUAGGGGUUCUGAGAGGAAGGUCCCCCACAUUGGAACUGAGACACGGUCCAAACUCCUACGGGAGGCAGCAGUGAGGAAUAUUGGUCAAUGGGCGCGAGCCUGAACCAGCCAAGUAGCGUGAAGGAUGACUGCCCUAUGGGUUGUAAACUUCUUUUAUAUUAGAAUAAAGUGCAGUAUGUAUACUGUUUUGUAUGUAUAAUAUGAAUAAGGAUCGGCUAACUCCGUGCCAGCAGCCGCGGUAAUACGGAGGAUCCGAGCGUUAUCCGGAUUUAUUGGGUUUAAAGGGAGCGUAGGUGGACUGGUAAGUCAGUUGUGAAAGUUUGCGGCUCAACCGUAAAAUUGCAGUUGAUACUGUCAGUCUUGAGUACAGUAGAGGUGGGCGGAAUUCGUGGUGUAGCGGUGAAAUGCUUAGAUAUCACGAAGAACUCCGAUUGCGAAGGCAGCUCACUGGACUGCAACUGACACUGAUGCUCGAAAGUGUGGGUAUCAAACAGGAUUAGAUACCCUGGUAGUCCACACAGUAAACGAUGAAUACUCGCUGUUUGCGAUAUACAGUAAGCGGCCAAGCGAAAGCAUUAAGUAUUCCACCUGGGGAGUACGCCGGCAACGGUGAAACUCAAAGGAAUUGACGGGGGCCCGCACAAGCGGAGGAACAUGUGGUUUAAUUCGAUGAUACGCGAGGAACCUUACCCGGGCUUAAAUUGCAGUGGAAUGAUGUGGAAACAUGUCAGUGAGCAAUCACCGCUGUGAAGGUGCUGCAUGGUUGUCGUCAGCUCGUGCCGUGAGGUGUCGGCUUAAGUGCCAUAACGAGCGCAACCCUUAUCUUCAGUUACUAACAGGUCAUGCUGAGGACUCUGGAGAGACUGCCGUCGUAAGAUGUGAGGAAGGUGGGGAUGACGUCAAAUCAGCACGGCCCUUACGUCCGGGGCUACACACGUGUUACAAUGGGGGGUACAGAAGGCAGCUACCUGGUGACAGGAUGCUAAUCCCAAAAGCCUCUCUCAGUUCGGAUCGAAGUCUGCAACCCGACUUCGUGAAGCUGGAUUCGCUAGUAAUCGCGCAUCAGCCACGGCGCGGUGAAUACGUUCCCGGGCCUUGUACACACCGCCCGUCAAGCCAUGGGAGCCGGGGGUACCUGAAGUACGUAACCGCAAGGAGCGUCCUAGGGUAAAACUGGUGACUGGGGCUAAGUCGUAACAAGGUAGCCGUACCGGAAGGUGCGGCUGGAACACCUCCUUUCUGGAG